This 355-nucleotide unclassified non-coding RNA is filed under the name soil metagenome. RNAcentral describes it as "partial contains 5.8S ribosomal RNA, internal transcribed spacer 2, and large subunit ribosomal RNA". The stretch from base 1 to 120 matches the Rfam family "5.8S ribosomal RNA", at positions 35 to 154 of the family's 154-position model. The record is from RNAcentral.
GAUGAAGAACGUAGCGAAAUGCGAUAAGUAGUGUGAAUUGCAGAAUUCAGUGAAUCAUCGAAUCUUUGAACGCACAUUGCGCCUUCUAGUAUUCUGGGAGGCAUGCCUGUUUGAGCGUCAUUAAACCUCUCUCAAGUAUGAUUACUUGGAUGUGAAGGAAGAGUACCUUUAACUUAAGGAGUGUUCUCCUUUGAAAUUGAUUAGCAGAUGGUAAUGUUAUUAAAUCCCUGAUGUUGUAAGAAAUAACAGUGGUUUUGUAGACUAUUAUCUAGCUUUAAAUUAUAAUUUUUAUUAUGGUUGACCUCAAAUCAGGUAAGGAUACCCGCUGAACUUAAGCAUAUCAAUAAGCGGAGGA